GCAUUGUUGGUCCAGCGGUAGGAUAUUUGCCUUCCAAGCAAAUGGCUCGGGUUCGACUCCCGGACAAUGCA
Molecule: non-coding RNA, 71 nt
Organism: Monascus purpureus
Lineage: Eukaryota; Fungi; Ascomycota; Eurotiomycetes; Eurotiales; Aspergillaceae
Source: the annotation of a GenBank genome assembly